Unclassified non-coding RNA from Chinchilla lanigera (long-tailed chinchilla), 177 nucleotides. NCBI's taxonomy places the organism in Eukaryota, Metazoa, Chordata, Mammalia, Rodentia, Chinchillidae. The record is from Ensembl.
GAGCCAGAUGGAAACUAAAGCCCUCUGUUUGUGACUGAACAGGUACACCACAAGCAGCAGUGUAAAUGUUCCACCCCGCUGCCUCCCACACACCCAGACUGCCCCAGACCCCACCCGGAAGGACCAGCUCCUCACAGGAGGGGUGACAGUUCCAUUGCUAUGCUCACUGAGCCUACU